GCGUAGGAGGGCAGGUAAGUCAGUGGUGAAAUCCCCGAGCUUAACUUGGGAACUGCCGUUGAUACUAUCUGUCUUGAAUAUUGUGGAGGUAAGCGGAAUAUGUCAUGUAGCGGUGAAAUGCUUAGAUAUGACAUAGAACACCAACUGCGAAGGCAGCUUGCUACACAACUAUUGACUCUGAUGCACGAAAGCGUGGGGAUCAAACAGGAUUAGAUACCCUGGUAGUCCACGCCCUAAACGAUGGAUACUCGACAUCAGCGAUACACUGUUGGUGUCUGAGCGAAAGCAUUAAGUAUCCCACCUGGGAAGUACGACCGCAAGGUUGAAACUCAAAGGAAUUGG
This 342-nucleotide ribosomal RNA is filed under the name uncultured bacterium. RNAcentral describes it as "bacterial SSU rRNA". It matches the Rfam family "Bacterial small subunit ribosomal RNA", at positions 569 to 913 of the family's 1533-position model. The record is from RNAcentral.